RNAcentral lists this RNase P RNA (339 nucleotides) under Actinomycetota bacterium. RNAcentral describes it as "RNase P RNA component class A". It matches the Rfam family "Bacterial RNase P class A". From Rfam's summary of the family: Ribonuclease P (RNase P) is a ubiquitous endoribonuclease, found in archaea, bacteria and eukarya as well as chloroplasts and mitochondria. Its best characterised activity is the generation of mature 5'-ends of tRNAs by cleaving the 5'-leader elements of precursor-tRNAs. Cellular RNase Ps are ribonucleoproteins. Lineage: Bacteria; Bacillati; Actinomycetota. The record is from RNAcentral.
CUUGUGAGACGGAUAAUCGCGAUUUUAUCGAGGAAAGUCCGGACUCCGUAGAGCAGAGAGCUGGGUAACUCCCAGGCAAGAAAUUGACGGAAAGUGCAACAGAAAACAAACCGCUUAUAUACAUAAGUAAGGAUGAAAAGGUGGUGUAAGAGACCACCAGUAAUUUAAGUGAUUAAAUUAGCUUGUAAACCCCUCUCGGAGCAAUACCAAGAAGNAAUUAGCUUGCUCGGCUAAAUAUUGCGGGUAGGUAGCUAGAUAUAUUUGGUAACAAAUAUACAAGAUGGAUGAUUAUCUUACACAGUGUGUAAACAGAAUCCGGCUUAUAGUCUCAUGAAAACU